GUUUUGCUUUUCUAGAAAGUGCCCCAGCAACAGAUCCUGAUAUGUGCAAAAGGAAGUCUGGCUUAAGCACAGACGAGGAGGAAGUACUUAUGUUGCCAGUUAAAGGCCGUGAGCGCUAUAACAUGUUAAAAAAGAUAAAUGAUGCAUUAGAACUGGCUGGAAAAGAGGCUAAAAACAAAACCAGGGCUUCUAAGGAACUGCUGCCGUCCAGUGGAAAGCGCGUCUUGCAAAAAGCAGAACGAAGCGACAGCGACUAGUUGCAAUCUGCCUUCUUUUAACCGCCAUGUUAUGUUCAGUGUUGCUUCCUGGCCAACAUCCCUCAGCAGGAGGCUGCACGAUCAUCGAGUUCAGAUGAACUGCGCGACCCCAGCCCCCUGUACCUCCCCGUCCCUCGUCCUGCCGGGGUCCGGCGCGACCCCAGCCCACGGAACUUCCCCGUCCCUCGUCCUGCCGGGGUCCGGCGCGACCCCAGCCCCCUGUACCUCCCCGUCCCGCGUCCUCCCGGGGUCAGGCGCGACCCCAUUUUUUUUGUUUUUUAUUUUUCCUUCUCCUUUCCUCCCCUUUACCUCCACCCGUGCCACAGGCCCACUGAUGAUGAACAUGAUGAUGAUGACGAACAUGAUGAUGAUGAUGAUGAUGAUGAUGAUGAUGAUGAUGAUGAUGAUUAUGCAAGCAGACAGCUGCGUGCAAGGGCUGACCAUUUUAAACGAAAAAUAAAACAGACCAAACAGGCAAAAACAUUUGAUUAAAUGCCAAAAGUUUAUUUAAUAAUAUAAAACAGUUAUGAAAUAAAGGAGUACAAGGCGCAUUCCGUACAGUAUAAUUUAAUCGGUACGCGUAAAGCAACAGAGGCAGGCGUAGAAAGAAAUUGAAUACGGCCCUUUUUUUUUUUUUUAAUCUUCAUCAACGGGAUUCUCGGCUCAUCAAAACUUGACGCGAAGCAGCUUUCGCAGCAGCGCCAGCAUCAGUAUCCCGCAGCGUUGGUUGUGGCUCUCGCUCCGCCGCGAGCCGCACACGACGCAGGGCAUCUCGUAGCCAAAGCCGACAUGGCCUUCCACGGCCUCCAUCAGCAUCAACUCGGGGAACGCCACGUAGCCCCUUCUGUAACGCUCCUUGCCUAUCAUUGCUUUCCGGACGCUUUCUUUGCCAGAGAACUUUUUCGCCAGGAAGUCGCACUCCUCCGCUCCGGCAACGUGCACGUGAUACACAUGCUCUCUCAGCAUGUUGUCACCCGCUACGAAACGGGAAAGCCUGACGCCGCACGCAUCACACACGUGAGUGUCUACGAUGUCUAGCUCAUACGACAUGCCCUCACGGCUGCCCAGCUCCCUGAACAGGUUGUCCGCAGUGCGAGGGCCGACCACGCUCCUCUCGCUCGGCCUUUUCGUGUACAGCAGAGGCUUGCGCCCGUAGUCGUCGUCCAGCUGGGUGUCGGUCAGGUACGCCGUGAAUCUCUUGCAAACUUCUUUGCAUCUGUCGCGGUGUCGUCUCCCCGCGCCGGCACAGAUGACGCAUCGCGUUACGUUUAGCAGGUUACAUUUGCCACCGCUGGCAAAUAAGAGGGCGUCCGGAAACGCCACCAUGCCGUGGGCGAACCUGAGUUCGCCCAGGUCCAAGGCCAAUUGAUCCGGUGGCAGGUGGCGGUGUCUGUAAUGAGCCUUGACACGAGCACACCGUCCGUCGCUGGCCAGGAUGUGUUUGUCCAACAAGUCCCUCAAGGCACCCUCA
Long non-coding RNA from Betta splendens (Siamese fighting fish), 1728 nucleotides. RefSeq lists it as uncharacterized. Lineage: Eukaryota; Metazoa; Chordata; Actinopteri; Anabantiformes; Osphronemidae. The record is from RefSeq and is a predicted model, not a curated record. The transcript has 4 exons.